RNAcentral lists this ribosomal RNA (429 nucleotides) under Chloroflexota bacterium. RNAcentral describes it as "Chloroflexi bacterium partial 16S ribosomal RNA". It matches the Rfam family "Bacterial small subunit ribosomal RNA", at positions 355 to 776 of the family's 1533-position model. The record is from RNAcentral. Lineage: Bacteria; Bacillati; Chloroflexota.
UGGGGAAUAUUGCACAAUGGGCGCAAGCCUGAUGCAGCCAUGCCGCGUGUGUGAAGAAGGCCUUCGGGUUGUAAAGCACUUUCAGCGGGGAGGAAGGCGUUAAGGUUAAUAACCUUGGCGAUUGACGUUACCGACAGAAGAAGCACCGGCUAACUCCGUGCCAGCAGCCGCGGUAAUACGGAGGGUGCAAGCGUUAAUCGGAAUUACUGGGCGUAAAGCGCACGCAGGCGGUUGAUUGAGUCAGAUGUGAAAUCCCCGGGCUUAACCCGGGAAUUGCAUCUGAUACUGGUCAGCUAGAGUCUUGUAGAGGGGGGUAGAAUUCCAUGUGUAGCGGUGAAAUGCGUAGAGAUGUGGAGGAAUACCUGUUGCGAAGGCGGCCCCCUGGACAAAGACUGACGCUCAGGUGCGAAAGCGUGGGGAGCAAACAGG